Oreochromis niloticus (Nile tilapia) is the source of this 1571-nucleotide long non-coding RNA. RefSeq lists it as uncharacterized. The record is from RefSeq and is a predicted model, not a curated record. Lineage: Eukaryota; Metazoa; Chordata; Actinopteri; Cichliformes; Cichlidae. The transcript is spliced from 3 exons.
GUCAGGUUUGCAGCAGUGCAGAGGAGAGCUCAGGGAGGAACAACUCCUACUACGCAGCGCAUCUGGAAAAUCAAUGGUGCAUUGAUCCAAGCUUUGGCUCUGACAGAGGAGAGAGGGGAGGUGAAAGUGUGAUGACUGGCGGAAGAGCAAGAGAAAGAGGAAGGCGUGAAGAACGAAAGGGCUGAGCAGAUGAAGGUAAAAGAACUGCUCUCGAGAGUGGAUGAACAAGCCUCAAAUGGAACCUGAGAAGCAAAAAAAAAAGGAAAAAAAGAGGAGAAACAGGAGAGGAGAGUAGGAGGGGAGGGAGAAAAUCAAUUUUCCCAGACAGAGGCAGGCUGGUCUAAUGGAGGUCUAAAAGAAGAGGAGGAGGAGAGGACAUAUUUUCCUCUGAUUACCUCCUGUAGCCUUCCUGGCAAACCUUCAAAGCUGUAGCGUUGCUAGAACGGUCUCACUCGGCCCACCUUUUUGUAGGAGAAGGUGUGGAGACUGGUUGCUUCUUUCACUCAGCAGCAAUCAGGCUGUGAGGUGGACAAGACGGUGCAGCAACAACAACAAAAAUCCCAACACAGCGAGGAAAUGGCAAGUAAACACUGACCUGAAAGACACUUUAGAAAAUAAAAUCCUGCUCCGAUGAGCAGAAACGACCAUUUUUCUCUUUUCUUUGAAUUCUGAACAUUUGAAUGGGACAUCGAAGGUAAUUCUCUCUUUUUCUAAUCUCCAUGCUGCCCUUUCAUAGCAGUUAUGUAACCUGUUAGAUCUCCAAGGGAGAAGAUGAGCUGGAUUAAAGGGAUAAAGGCUUCCAUUUGGCCAAGAUGACCCAUUUAUAAAGCAUAAAGAAAGGAAAUUUGUCCUUAGUGUCUCUAUCAAAUGAAGGGAGAUAUCUGGAGUACCCCCUUUUGCUUGUGCUUCUCCGCUCAGAUGGCCUAUGACCAGGUUGCUAUGUUCAAUUUCCUGCAACAGACUGGAUUGUUAUGAAUUGGAGUGGAGUGGACCUUCAGUGCUAUGCAGAGAAAUUGCGGGCACUGAUUUGUUCCAGUUGUACCUAAGUGAAUUUUAAAUCUUGUUUAUGGCUGUCAUCAUAAAAUAAAAAGUGUUGCACGCCAAGGAAACGAGACGAGCAGAAAUUUGGCUUGUGGAGCAUCAAACCGCUGGCCGAGAAAAGCAACAAUAAAUCCAAACGCUGCAGAUUGCAGUUGUAGGAAAAAUAGACUCGAGUGGCUUAGGAAAUGAUUUCAAAUGUAAUGAGAAACAAGGCAUCUGAAGCUGGAAUCUGUGACCCACAGUAGCACCAAAGAGGAACAAAAGAGACUCAAAAACAAAAAGAGGGGGGACAGAUGUGGCUCCAGUAUCCUCAAACUCCCUCCACUCCAAUGGCCACUGUACGUCUGCUCCUGAAGCUUUGGGCUCGUUAAAACCAGUGAAUGUUCAAUCGGCUAUUAAACAGUGUUUCAAUGAACUUUUCCUUUUCUUUGGACCACUUAAUGUACAAAUACAGUGUUUCCCUCCUGGGAGAAAAGACACUAUAGUAUGGAGGGAGAAAAAAGCUCAGAAGGGUUUGAAAAGCUAUUAAA